GGGGUUGUAGCUCAGUGGCAGUGUGCUUGCCUAGCAUGCAUGAGGCACUGGGUUCAAUUCUCAGCACCA
RNAcentral lists this transfer RNA (69 nucleotides) under Ictidomys tridecemlineatus (thirteen-lined ground squirrel). RNAcentral's name for it is "Spermophilus tridecemlineatus (thirteen-lined ground squirrel) tRNA". It matches the Rfam family "tRNA". Rfam says of the family: Transfer RNA (tRNA) molecules are approximately 80 nucleotides in length. Their secondary structure includes four short double-helical elements and three loops (D, anti-codon, and T loops). Further hydrogen bonds mediate the characteristic L-shaped molecular structure. tRNAs have two regions of fundamental functional importance: the anti-codon, which is responsible for specific mRNA codon recognition, and the 3' end, to which the tRNAs corresponding amino acid is attached (by aminoacyl-tRNA synthetases). tRNAs cope with the degeneracy of the genetic code in two manners: having more than one tRNA (with a specific anti-codon) for a particular amino acid; and 'wobble' base-pairing, i.e. permitting non-standard base-pairing at the 3rd anti-codon position. Lineage: Eukaryota; Metazoa; Chordata; Mammalia; Rodentia; Sciuridae. The record is from Rfam by way of RNAcentral.